This 253-nucleotide ribosomal RNA is filed under the name uncultured bacterium. RNAcentral describes it as "partial 16S ribosomal RNA". It matches the Rfam family "Bacterial small subunit ribosomal RNA", at positions 524 to 776 of the family's 1533-position model. The record is from RNAcentral.
UACGAAGGGUGCAAACGUUGCUCGGAAUUAUUGGGCGUAAAGCGCACGUAGGCGGCUUUGCAAGUCGGAUGUGAAAGCCCUCGGCUCAACCAAGGAAGUGCAUCCGAAACUGCAGAGCUUGAGUACUUAAGAGGAUCGCGGAAUUCCCGGUGUAGAGGUGAAAUUCGUAGAUAUCGGGAGGAACACCAGUGGCGAAGGCGGCGAUCUGGGAAGAUAUUGACGCUGAGGUGCGAAAGCGUGGGGAGCAAACAGG